AUUUCAAGUACCCAUUCUCUGGGGCUUAUCUCACUGUGGCAUCUGAAAAUUAUAUAUGAAUGAAGGCUGGUGCUACAUGAAGGAUAUGAGCCAUCCAUCCUGUGAGAUCCUUUCCAAGCCUGGAGUUUGAGCAUCUGGAUCCCCAGAAUCGAACCCCUACUUUCAUAACAAAAAGUGAACCUGAAAACA
Molecule: long non-coding RNA, 189 nt
Filed under: Canis lupus familiaris (dog)
Lineage: Eukaryota; Metazoa; Chordata; Mammalia; Carnivora; Canidae
Description: lncRNA (ENSCAFG00000051257.1, ENSCAFG00805020478.1, ENSCAFG00845026998.1)
Source: RNAcentral